GGGUUGUGAGGUUAAGCGACUAAGCGUACACGGUGGAUGCCCUGGCAGUCAGAGGCGAUGAAGGACGUGCUAAUCUGCGAAAAGCGCCGGCGAGGUGAUAUGAACCCUUGACCCGGCGAUGUCCGAAUGGGGAAACCCAGUGCAAUUCGUUGCACUAUCGUUAACUGAAUACAUAGGUUAACGAGGCGAACCGGGGGAACUGAAACAUCUAAGUACCCCGAGGAAAAGAAAUCAACCGAGAUUCCCCCAGUAGCGGCGAGCGAACGGGGAGCAGCCCGGAGUCUGAAUCAGCUUGUGUGUUAGUGGAACGGUCUGGAAAGUCCGACGGUACAGGGUGAUAGUCCCGUACACGAAAGCACACAUGCUGUGAACUCGAAGAGUAGGGCGGGACACGUGGUAUCCUGUCUGAAUAUGGGGGGACCAUCCUCCAAGGCUAAAUACUCCUGACUGACCGAUAGUGAACCAGUACCGUGAGGGAAAGGCGAAAAGAACCCCGGCGAGGGGAGUGAAAAAGAACCUGAAACCGUGUACGUACAAGCAGUGGGAGCCUCUUUAUGGGGUGACUGCGUACCUUUUGUAUAAUGGGUCAGCGACUUAUAUUCUGUAGCAAGGUUAACCGUAUAGGGGAGCCGAAGGGAAACCGAGUCUUAACUGGGCGUUAAGUUGCAGGGUAUAGACCCGAAACCCGGUGAUCUAGCCAUGGGCAGGUUGAAGGUUGGGUAACACUAACUGGAGGACCGAACCGACUAAUGUUGAAAAAUUAGCGGAUGACCUGUGGCUGGGGGUGAAAGGCCAAUCAAACCGGGAGAUAGCUGGUUCUCCCCGAAAGCUAUUUAGGUAGCGCCUCGUGAACUCAUCUUCGGGGGUAGAGCACUGUUUCGGCUAGGGGGCCAUCCCGGCUUACCAACCCGAUGCAAACUACGAAUACCGAAGAAUGUUAUCACGGGAGACACACGGCGGGUGCUAACGUCCGUCGUGAAGAGGGAAACAACCCAGACCGCCAGCUAAGGUCCCAAAGUCAUGGUUAAGUGGGAAACGAUGUGGGAAGGCACAGACAGCCAGGAUGUUGGCUUAGAAGCAGCCAUCAUUUAAAGAAAGCGUAAUAGCUCACUGGUCGAGUCGGCCUGCGCGGAAGAUGUAACGGGGCUAAACCAUGCACCGAAGCUGCGGCAGCGACACUAUGUGUUGUUGGGUAGGGGAGCGUUCUGUAAGCCGUUGAAGGUGUGCUGUGAGGCAUGCUGGAGGUAUCAGAAGUGCGAAUGCUGACAUAAGUAACGAUAAAGCGGGUGAAAAGCCCGCUCGCCGGAAGACCAAGGGUUCCUGUCCAACGUUAAUCGGGGCAGGGUGAGUCGACCCCUAAGGCGAGGCCGAAAGGCGUAGUCGAUGGGAAACAGGUUAAUAUUCCUGUACUUGGUGUUACUGCGAAGGGGGGACGGAGAAGGCUAUGUCAGCCGGGCGACGGUUGUCCCGGUUUAAGCAUGUAGGCGGAGGUUCCAGGUAAAUCCGGUACCUUUUAACGCUGAGGUGUGAUGACGAGGCACUACGGUGCUGAAGUGAUAAAUGCCCUGCUUCCAGGAAAAGCCUCUAAGCAUCAGGUAACACGAAAUCGUACCCCAAACCGACACAGGUGGUCAGGUAGAGAAUACCAAGGCGCUUGAGAGAACUCGGGUGAAGGAACUAGGCAAAAUGGUGCCGUAACUUCGGGAGAAGGCACGCUGAUGUGUAGGUGAAGCCCCUGCGGGCGGAGCUGAAAUCAGUCGAAGAUACCAGCUGGCUGCAACUGUUUAUUAAAAACACAGCACUGUGCAAACACGAAAGUGGACGUAUACGGUGUGACGCCUGCCCGGUGCCGGAAGGUUAAUUGAUGGGGUUAGCGGCAACGCGAAGCUCUUGAUCGAAGCCCCGGUAAACGGCGGCCGUAACUAUAACGGUCCUAAGGUAGCGAAAUUCCUUGUCGGGUAAGUUCCGACCUGCACGAAUGGCGUAAUGAUGGCCAGGCUGUCUCCACCCGAGACUCAGUGAAAUUGAACUCGCUGUGAAGAUGCAGUGUACCCGCGGCAAGACGGAAAGACCCCGUGAACCUUUACUAUAGCUUGACACUGAACACUGGUCCUUGAUGUGUAGGAUAGGUGGGAGGCUUUGAAGCGUGGACGCCAGUCUGCGUGGAGCC
This 2170-nucleotide ribosomal RNA is filed under the name Enterobacter cloacae. RNAcentral's name for it is "bacterial LSU rRNA". It matches the Rfam family "Bacterial large subunit ribosomal RNA", at positions 1 to 2187 of the family's 2925-position model. Lineage: Bacteria; Pseudomonadati; Pseudomonadota; Gammaproteobacteria; Enterobacterales; Enterobacteriaceae. The record is from RNAcentral.